RNAcentral lists this ribosomal RNA (457 nucleotides) under uncultured bacterium. RNAcentral's name for it is "bacterial SSU rRNA". It matches the Rfam family "Bacterial small subunit ribosomal RNA", at positions 340 to 786 of the family's 1533-position model. The record is from RNAcentral.
UACGGAAGGCAGCAGUGGGGAAUAUUGCACAAUGGGCGAAAGCCUGAUGCAGCUAUGCCGCGUGUAUGAAGAAGGCCUUAGGGUUGUAAAGUACUUUCAUCGGGGAGGAAAAACAAAACUAAUAAUUUUAUUUCUUGACGUUACCCGAAAAAGAAGCACCGGCUAACUCCGUGCCAGCAGCCGCGGUAAUACGGAGGGUGCUAGCGUUAAUCAGAAUUACUGGGCGUAAAGAGCACGUAGGUGGUUUUUUUAAGUCAGAUGUGAAAUCCCUGGGCUUAACCUAGGAACUGCAUUUUGAAACUGAAAUACUAGAGUAUCGUAGAGGGAGGUAGAAUUCUAGGUGUAGCGGUGAAAUGCGUAGAUAUCUGGAGGAAUACCUGUGGCGAAAGCGGCCUCCUAAACGAAUACUGACACUGAGGGUGCGAAAGCGUGGGGAGCAAACGAGGGAUUAGAUACC